AUUGAACGCUAGCGGGAUGCUUUACACAUGCAAGUCGAACGGCAGCGCGGACUUCGGUCUGGCGGCGAGUGGCGAACGGGUGAGUAAUGUAUCGGAACGUGCCCAGUAGCGGGGGAUAACUACGCGAAAGCGUAGCUAAUACCGCAUACGCCCUACGGGGGAAAGCAGGGGAUCGUAAGACCUUGCACUAUUGGAGCGGCCGAUAUCGGAUUAGCUAGUUGGUGAGGUAACGGCUCACCAAGGCGACGAUCCGUAGCUGGUUUGAGAGGACGACCAGCCACACUGGGACUGAGACACGGCCCAGACUCCUACGGGAGGCAGCAGUGGGGAAUUUUGGACAAUGGGGGCAACCCUGAUCCAGCCAUCCCGCGUGUGCGAUGAAGGCCUUCGGGUUGUAAAGCACUUUUGGCAGGAAAGAAACGUCGCGGGCUAAUACCCCGUGGAACUGACGGUACCUGCAGAAUAAGCACCGGCUAAUUACGUG
RNAcentral lists this ribosomal RNA (484 nucleotides) under uncultured bacterium. Its description in RNAcentral is "partial 16S ribosomal RNA". It matches the Rfam family "Bacterial small subunit ribosomal RNA", at positions 30 to 507 of the family's 1533-position model. The record is from RNAcentral.